Molecule: long non-coding RNA, 1728 nt
Filed under: Lupinus angustifolius (narrow-leaved blue lupine)
Lineage: Eukaryota; Viridiplantae; Streptophyta; Magnoliopsida; Fabales; Fabaceae
Description: long non-coding RNA (LANG_LNC001116)
Source: RNAcentral
UCUUGACUUUUCCACAUUGCGUGCAACCUGAAACAAAUAGAGGGCUCUAUCUUUUAGAUGGCUAAUCAUUAAUAUAAAAUAGAAAUUUAAUAUUUUGAUUGUUUUUUUUUUCAAACUACUGGAACAUGAUUGAUAGAAGAUGCUCUUGAUAUAAACCAAGAAAAAAAUAAAUAGAUAUUUGAACGAAAAAAUAUUACCAUAUUUUAAAUGAUUACAAUUUUAAACGAUUGCAAUUUUAAACGAUUACAAUUUAUACCAUGGAAAUAGGUAUUAAUUUUUCAAUGAUAAAAUUGCGUUAUAAUUUCAAAUAGAGAUCACCUAUUCUAAGAUUUAAUAUUCUAUUGUGAAUAAAUCCUAUUAAAAAAAAUCAAUUAGUUAAAAAAUUAUAAAGAUAUAAAAUAAUUGUUUUUAAUUACUUAUUAUAAUAUAAUUAGUUUGUCACAUAAAAAUAAAAUAAUAAUUUUUGGAGAUUUAUGAUCUUGUUUAUAGUUCCCAACCAACAAAAGAAACUCCACAUUCCCAUGUUCACUUCACCGUAGUCUACAUUACACGUGUAUUACUCUAUCAUUGUGUGGACGGAAAGUCAUCUUAUAUUUACAUAACACCGACUUCUCUUAUAACAUACAAUUACAUGGAAAAACAAGCCAAAUAUUCGAUGUUCAAACUUCAACCUUAUUUGGAAAAAAAGAAUUGUAAGACCCCAUGAAAUAAAAAUUAUAAGCAAUAUAUAUUCAUAAAUCAUACCAUUUUAUAAAUAAUACAAAACUUCAAAUUUUCACCAUAAGAACUCACAUUAUAAUUUAUCUAAAAUAAAUUAAUAUAUUUGCAACUCUAAUAAUACAUGUAUAAGUUAUUCACAAUUCUUAUCUAUAUAAACUUGAGUUUGUUUUAAUUAUUCAAGUAAUCAAAUCUAAAUUUAAAAUCAAACUUAUUUAUUAAAUAAAGUUCCUUUGAGGAGGGUCUCAGGUAAGAAAAGUUAAUUGGGUCAAAUGAACGACAGUUUGCAGAGCAAAACCUGAAAGUGAAUUACGUGUCAAAAGUAUAAGACUCUUCAACCUUGCCCUUCUUGGGAAAAGAAAAUGGAGUUUGCUGAUUGAGAGCGAUAGUCCUUACACUCUUGAGUCUAAAUAUGGAAGAGAGAGCACUUUGGGUCCAACUCUAAUCUUCCCUUGAAGAAAAUAUCUCUUUGGACUAGGGACUUAGGUAGAAUUGACCUUGGGGACCCUAUUGUCUCGAAUUAGUUAUAGAAAAACAAUGUUCUAAGGGCGAGGUGUAAAAAAAUACUAGUUUUUGGCAUGACAUGUGGCUUAGCUCUUAGAAGCUAUGUAGACAAUUAUAAUAGACUGUGUAACCUUAGUCUGUACAGGGAUGCUAAGAUAAGUGCUCCAGGGAGCUGGUAGAAUGUGGGUUGGAGGUGAUUCUUACAGGUUGCAAUUUACAGAGGGACACUGAAGAUUGUUGGGAGUAUCUACACUAAAAAACGAGCCAAUAUUCAAUCAAAUCCACCUACAAGGUUCUACUAAUCAAGAGAAUAGUCAAGAUUAGGACAACAACUUAGUCAAACUCUUAUGUGAAUCAAAAGCCCUCUCGAAGGUCAUCGCUUCACAUGGAGACUAUUCCAAGACAAAAUUCUAACUUGCUUAGGAGGAAGGAGACAACUUCCAGAAGGAACCACAUGUUGAUUCAACAAUGAAGAAAUAUAAAUCUCAACAUUUAUUCUCACCCUGC